GAUGAACGCUGGCGGCGUGCUUAAUACAUGCAAGUCGAACGGAGAUUGUAGCAAUACAUUCUUAGUGGCGAACGGGUGAGUAACGCGUUGGUGACCUGCCCCGAAGCGUGGGAUAACAGCUCGAAAGGGCUGCUAAUACCGCAUGAGGUCUUGGAAGUUAGAGGGACCGAGACGAAAGGAGCAAUCCGCUUUGGGAGGGGCCUGCGUCCCAUCAGCUAGUUGGUAGGGUAAAAGCCUACCAAGGCGAAGACGGGUAGGGGGCCUGAGAGGGUGACCCCCCACACUGGCACUGAAACACGGGCCAGACACCUACGGGAGGCUG
Molecule: ribosomal RNA, 322 nt
Filed under: uncultured Chloroflexota bacterium
Lineage: Bacteria; Bacillati; Chloroflexota
Description: bacterial SSU rRNA
Rfam family: Bacterial small subunit ribosomal RNA
Source: RNAcentral